GAAUUCGAGUCGUCAAGGCGAUGUAAGCACUGCUCACCUUACCAUCCCACACAUGGAUGCAAUUUAAUCUCAUAACCGUAAAUAUUCUUAAAAGAAGUAGCAAUCGUAAACUGCUUAAUAGCCACUCCAACUACUUAAGAAGGCUCGUACUAAUUUGAAAGUAGAGUGGGGUGAGACGACUAUAGAAACCGGAAGUGGUGUGUAGAUAAAAGCAACCUACAUUGCUGCAUCCAACAGCAAAUGACAAACUUCUACAUUUACUAUCAAAUGUCAGCGAACCUGUAUAUCAAAGCACGGUACAAAAGAGAGAUAUAUAUUUAUAAAGUUAGUCAACCGUAUUAAGUACAUAUUUAGUCGGUUAUCGGUACAUUGGUUUUUCCAACACUCUGUCGUUGUCUUCUUAUUAUUUCCUGCUUGAUACCUGGGAAAAAAUUUCUUUCACCAUGUUGCUACAUCCUAUUUUCUCUGGCUAGUGGAUUCAUUUUCAUAAUAGGUACGUAUAGAGACUCACGAAGAUAUCCGAACACUUUCAUAUACCUUUUAUGAAUAUAUUAUAUUAGUAUUCGAAUAGGUUUAGAAAUUCUAUAAAUAGAUCUACAAAGAUUUUGUAACAUAUAUUAUACAAUACUGUUAUAAUUGUUAUGUACAUUAGCUUAUAGAAAUUCUAUAAUAGAUUGUUCAGGUAUGUAACAUUUUGAAAUUUAAUUAACACUGUUAUGAGACUGUACUGUUAGGAUGAUACUGAUAAUGAUUGGAGGAAAUCUAGAAAUAUAUGAAAGUAUAUAAUAAAUGAAAAAAUAUCUAGUACAAGUACCUAUACGCGUAUUUCACAGAGAUCAAAAAGUUAUUUAAGCAGUCAGCCAUUUGUAUCACUUACUAUAUGCUUCAUACAACUACUCUCCAAUGCUAUUAAUUCCUUCUUGUAAUGCUAUCUUUUUUCCCCUUCGCGAUCGUUCCAAGGGAAGUCCUAAUGUAUUCAGGCGUAAGAUCGAUAUAGCAAUUGCUACGUAAUCAAUCAUUCCCACGUAGAAAAUAUAAAUUAUAGCAGCGUCCACUGGUCACACAUUGCUCAUGAUAUUAUUGUAUAUUAGCGUCAUGAAACAAUGAUACAACAUAUCAGAAUAAAUUAUACUUCCGCCUUUAGAUUAUGAUCAUCGUGACUGGUUGUGUGGUUGUAUGGCAGCUGAUUAAUGUCGUGUCUCUAAUACAUCAGUAUUUAUCAUUUAUAAUAUUUGGUUUGGUCUAUUUUAUAGCGGCUCGUUUCUGUCGAAUCAACGUCCUUUCGUCUUAAGAAAAUCAUUAGCUGACAAAUUAAAGAAAUUUGUUAACGAUAGAAAAAGGGAGAUUCGGUUGAAAGCGGCUCAAAGGAUGCAGAUGGAUUAAAAUAUCGCGUCCUCUAGCCAAAGAAAAGCCCCUAUAAUAAUUUCGCAUGCAGAAAGGCUAAUAAAUCGAUGAUCUAACGAGUGAGUGGCGUGCUAAAGUAGUUGAAACUGUACGUAAUAAAUUACAGAUUGCCAAGCAAACACUCGGGAGCCGUGCAAGAGACGCUGAAGGUCUAUUGGAUGUUCGUUGCCACUAAAUUACACGCGUCCGAGGUAGAAAUUCUGGCUGCGUACGAUAUGACGAUCGUGUGUACAGCUGUACUCGUGAACAUCGGUAUAAAACAUGAUAUAACGUAUUCGUUACAUUGUCACAACCUGUGCGUACAUACGGUACACGUGGGAAUUAUUUUUCAUGGGGGACACGUUCGAAUGUCUGGCCUUUUCCAAAUUUCAUAUGCGACAGAGGGUUCGGCCGCGCGGUACCGGAAGUCAUCAGACUGCGCGCUCGAUGAAUUCGUUCCCGUGACUAACCGUAGGUACACGUAACGCUUUGAUUCACACGCGUCUAUAUACAUAGACUAUCUAAUGUAAAUAUAAAACUUACAACGAGUGUAGUGAUUCACUCGUCACGUUGCAAACGCUCGUUGUUAAUUCCACCGAUAAAUUUCCAAAUGAAACGUGUGAUUGAAUUGAACACGGUGUAACAUUACACCGGCACAAUUGAAUAGCCGCUCUCGAUUCUGAAACGCGAAUGAAAGUUAUCAACGAGACCUGAUUUCUUUCUCUGCGUAUGCAGAGGAAUCUUGAGAAAUUGUUUGUUUUGUUUCCAGGAUGUAUCAAUAGGAUUAGUAAUUUAUUGGUAUUUCCAUUUUGAAGCUUUAAUGGUACAAUUGAUUAGCAAUUGGCAGAACUCUAGCAUUCGCUUUUACAAUAUUCUCUUAUGAAACGUGGAGCUUUCUGAGAAAAGAGAAGAAUCGUGUUUGUAAAUUUUGUUUAUGCGAUAGUCUCUUUCCAAAUCGAUGAAUCAGUGUUUCUUGUUAAAAAAGUAAAGUUAAGUAAAGUUAAGUAAAAGUAAAGUUAACAAAUUAAAGAACAUUCACAAUGUUGAAAGAAUUUAUAGAUUAGUUUUAACUCUUUAGGGACUGAAUCUUUUUACUCUAUGAGAAAAAUUGUAUUUUCAUUAAUCAUUAAUAGUAGUAUAUCAAAAAAAGAAUAUUUAUAUAUAUAUAUUAUUUCAAACAAUUUUUGUAUUAUCUACAUAUUUUCAGUGACACUAAAAGGUAUAUUUUGAAGAUAUAGACACAUGAUCAUACUACUUUCAAGUUAUAUAAUGACUUUAUAAAUGAUUAAAACUAAAUGCAUGUUGAGUCUGCUGAUAUGUGAGUGUCUCAAAAGCCAAACUCAACAAAGGCUUAGUCAACUGCAGAUCCUUUCCUCGACUUCUUUACCCCCAUGAUUGACGUUCAACUUUCCCCUAAAAACAAAUUCUCGAGUUUAUUUAUUGUAAGAAACCGACAACAAUCUUGAAAAUUCAAAAACUAAAUUCAAAAAAAUAAUUCUUACAAAAUCACCAAUUUUUGCCUACUUUUCAAUUUACAUCUUUACACGAAGCCAAUCGCCAUAACUUCUGAAACAUAAACAACAAUUGUAAGUUGAAAAAAUAAUCCUCACAAAAUCAUCGGUAUUCUCCACUCUUGACUCCUAUCAGAGGGACGAAGAAUCCCAGGAACAUGAGUCACACGAGUCCAAUCAGUAUGGUUUUUGAGCUUCUCACGUUACGAUAUUUGGCAACGAGAAAACUACUACUACUUUCGUACGUACGUACAGCACGUGAAGUAUAUUACGAAAGAAGUGAUCGCAAAGGAAAACGAUAGAACUUUCCAUGGGGCCUGAUACAUUGUUCGUUAUGGAUGAAAUAAAUGAAAGCUUAAUUAUACCGCGUAUCCGCUUCACUUUCUCGCAGAAUGCAUAAUCGAUCGGUGGUUUUCAAGCCGCGGAAAAGUGGGAUUCGGUGUUAUCAGAAGAAAUAGGUUCGCUCGGAAUGCGGCUCCAAGUUUGGCGGACUUGUACAACGACGACGGGCAAACCGUUAUUUCAAAACCAUUCGCGAGAAUCACGCGUUCUGAAUACGUAAACGGUGUUAGAAUUUAUUCGACUGGUAGAACAGUGUCGUGACGAUAUUUCAUAUCGAUCAGGUUCGAUGCUUUUAUGGAUGGAACAAUAUAUAAUGUAGGGUAUUCCAGUCGAAGAUGGAAUUGUUCUUCAACCUAAUUCUUUUAACUUCGCUGUGUGCUACAUGUUAGCUCGCUGAGAAAUCUGUAUUCAGCUUGCAUUCAAAUUUGCAAUCUUUAAGAGAUUCUCCUGUGUCAAUAAUUAAAGCAAGCGAUUUAUAUGAAUUUUUUCGUAGACUGGCUACUAGUUAGACGGGACUAGAUCUUUCUGGGAUGUAAAUAUAGCCUUCAAGUACAAAUGCAAUCUUUUUUAUUUGAAUUCUUCUUAUCGUUUGGUAACUUUUGAAACUGACCUGCGCAAUAACUGGAUAAACCGAUUAAUUAAUCAAUUUCGGACAAAGCUCGUUCACUUUGUUAUAAAUUUUAUCAAGCAUUGAACCAUACAUCUUUAUCCGAUUAUUUAUUAUCCUCAAUUUAUUAAACUCAAUUUAUCUAGCGAGAAAAGUAAAUGUUCCUUCUAAACGCUAGAACCUUCCAAUUACUCAUGUUUUCCUCUGAAGAAUAGGUCCGAUCACAGCGUAAAGGAUCUAACUUUAAGAAAAUCUUUAGACUUUUCUGAUGAUCGUGACAGAUGCUAUAUUGCAUGCCAACAAUGGUUACAUUGCCAAAUUUAAUUAACCAUAAGACUUGUAUGAUAUACGAUAAACAGUAAGAAGAACUGAAAUAAAAAUAUUACUUUUGUACUUCAAUACUAUCUAUCUAUAUUCUGAAAAUGUCCAGUCCCAUGUAACCAGUGGUUAGUCUAAAAAAAAUUCACAAAAAUCACUUUCUUCCAAUGUUGUUACACGAGAAUCUUUCUUUAAUUCGCUCCUGAUUCGAAUGAAAGAAAAUUUAUUCCAUUUCCUUUUUUUAAAAACUUAUUGCUAAAAUAAUUUGACCUAUUUCUGACAAAAUCGUUAUGCCUUUGGAUUAACAGAUGUCUUAAAACUUCAAUUGUCAGGAUGUUUUGUAGUAUGUUUUCCUUCAAGUUUCAAGAUGUAACGGUACGAAGCAUGAUUUUGGCUUUCUUAUAUUGAAAAAGGAAUUGUGGUAAUUUAGAGAUUUUGGAGUAGAGUAUCCACAUAGAGAUUUUUACAUUAUUACAUCCUUCAAUACAGAUUUACAAACACUACUUAUUAGCGAUUUAUUCGAUAACAUAUUUCAUAAAGUAAAUGAUAAGGAUUGACUAAGCUUGAGAUAACAUUCCUCCUUUUUCUUUCUGCUAGUAAUUUUACAUUCAAACUUAGACAUUUUUCAUUAUUUACCAUUAUCUUUCGAAUAUUUUAAUCUUUAUUUCCCUAUAUUACAUUCUGAUAUCUCAAGUUUAUAAACAAACAUCUAUCAGUGGAACAAACGCUAAACAAACGUAACGUUUCCAAAUUGUAUAAUUGUCAAGGUUCACACAGGCAAUUUAUUUAUCUAUUCUAUAAUGGUUGGAGGAUUGAAUUACAAGGAAAAUUGGCGAUGCACCAUGCCUCUCUAGUCUUGUUUCGUAUUAUCUUCACGUGGCUUCGAAGCCUGCACCGAGUCCAUUGAAUAGUACUCAUUAUCGUACACUGUUCAGCCGGGUUUAAAGGUGUCCCGCGACUCAGCGGAAAUCAAGUGCAUCUGCAACACACGAGCGUGUACCCAUCGUAUUAAGGAUCGUGCACAAUAAAACCGUUUCGUCGACUUUUUUCAUUCCUAUUCAACAGUCACGCUCGAUUGCACUUUUCUUUGUAUCGUUCCUCUUUUGUUGCACUCCUGGCUGAAUCAUUUUCCUCGUGUUCCACGUUGACGCAUGUUUUACAUGCUUAACACCUUGUUUAACUAAAUCUUUGUUGGCUAAGCCUGAACUGUUCGAGUCGUGAAAUCAUUGCAACGAAAUGCAAAUAAAUAAUACAAAUAAGUGGAUAGAAUCUUUCAUGUUGCUCCUUUCGACGUUUUAAUUGCCUCUUUGAAUGUUUUGAUCGACGUGAUCACGUUCUCCAGGAUAUAAAUUCUUACGACGUUGUUAGUAUUCGCUGAAUGAUGCCAGAGAUUAAAAGUAAUGGCACCAUGAAUGAAAAUUGACCCCAGGGAAAUUUAAUUUUCAAUGUUCAAUUUCACUCGUUAAAUUCUCCCGUAUUCGACGUUUUUCUGUCGGUAAACGCACGUUUCGAAGGAAAUCGUAUAGUUAUUGCUUUGUUACGUCCAAUUAUAAAAGCAAUUAUUCAAUCUUUAAUAUCACAAUUUCUAGUUUAAAACAUAAAAUCUUCUUUUAUAUAAAAUAUAAUUAGCUGCACAAAAAUAUAAAAUAUCCCCUGUAAACAAAGAAGAAAGUAAAUUACAAACAAUUCUAAAAUUUAGAUUUUAGACGUAAUUUUGAAACUUUUAAAUCUAAUUGACAACUAUCGCAAGUAAAGUAUAACUUUGGUACGAUACUUGGUAGGAACAGUGGGAAUCAAACAGCUGGAAAAGAACGUUGUAACCUUAGCGCCACAGAACGGCGAUGACGUCCUUCCGAAUACAAAAGAAAGAUCUACGCUGCAUCGAUCUUGGAAAGAAUGGUAGUAGAAGGGUGAGAGGAAUAUAUCAGGCGAAGUACCAGCAGUCACCUUGACCCAGUUCCCUCUGGAUAGUCUUGGGAAACGACGAGGAACGAAUCAAGCGCGACCAAUAAUACAAGAAUUGAUUUUGCGAUAACAAUACCCGGUUGCCCUGUAUAGUCGUGUAAUAGCUUAGAUGGCCUGGUUUUAAACGAUCCCGUUACAGUAAUUUUCAUCAAUUUUUUCGUUUAAAAUCAUCUUUUGUAACCCUUUUGUAAUAUGCAGUAGAAAGUAUUAAAAUAUAUCAACGGAUGAAUCAGAACAUUGAUUCAAUGAAACAGAUUUCAUUCAGGAAGAAGGUCAUAGGAAAAGAGAUAAAGCGACGUAUAUCUAAUUUUGAAAAUAAUUUCGAAACGGAAUAAAUAGAAGAAAUUGAGAAACCUAAAUAACUAGAAAUUAGGAAUUGAAUUUAAAAAUUGUUUUUCCAUAAAAGAUGGAGAAUAGAAAGUAAUAUGUUUUCUGCAAUGUUUGUACUAGUAAAUCACGUAUUAAAUUAUAUACGUAUAUUAAUUUAUAACUAACAUAUUUU
Bombus huntii is the source of this 6628-nucleotide long non-coding RNA. RefSeq lists it as uncharacterized. Lineage: Eukaryota; Metazoa; Arthropoda; Insecta; Hymenoptera; Apidae. The record is from RefSeq and is a predicted model, not a curated record. The transcript is spliced from 3 exons.